GAGAAGAACUGCAAGUCUCUCCUCCCUCCUCUUUGUCGCUGACUGGAGGCCACACCCCCUAGGCGAGUAGACGUCGGUGUCCUCCAUCGGCAUUUCUCCUCUCUCUCUUUUCCUCUUUCUUAUUACGGCAAAUCCAGCUGAGGUAGAAGCUGCGUCAAGACUAUCUAUCAGCAGCAGCGAGCUCCGAUGGAGUUUCUCAAAGUUUCAAGCUGGUCAAAAGAAGGAUCUUUAACAUAUCCAUUCAGGGACAAAGCAUUUAAGCUGAUAUCCUAAAGCUUCAUCACACCUAAAGGAUUUUGUUGGAAUAGAGUUUAUCUGGAGCAACCCGCUGGCAAAAGCGCAGCCACUUCUAAAACUGAGAACUUUAAUCCUUCCAGGCAAGAAACCAAGGAAGGAAGGGGGAGUCCAUUCACACAAUGGUCCAAAGAUAAGAAAUUAGGAUCUGAUUGGAAAUCCACAUACACAAUUUUAUUAAAGUAGCCUAAAUGUUUGUGCAAUGAAAUAUUUUGCUCGUAUGCUACUAACAAACUAACUAUCCAAUGAUUCCAUUCAUUCGACACUCCUCUAAACUUCAACAAUCAUUUACCAGGAAGGAAAGGGAAUAAAUGUUUCAUUGCCACAUAUUUGAUCUCCAUGUCUUCUCUCCUAGUGUAGUCUGCAUGAAAUUUAGAUUCCUCAUUCCAUUCCUUCUUAUAAGCGAUAACCUUAAAGUCGUCCUCUGUGUAACAACCCUAAAAUUAAUAGGAUCAAGCUUAGGGUGUCAAGAAUGCUUGCAAUUAAACCAAGGUUCCCACGGAUUGAAACGCGUAGAAUCAGACCUCAAAACCCUUACUACGACCAAUUUAACAAACUUGGGGAGUUAGUUGAGCUUUGAAAGGUUCGAACCAACCAAGUAAGGCUCGCAAAAAUGAAGAUUUAACCGAAGGAGUCUUUACCAGACUUGAAAGAAGAAAUUGUAGGUUUUGAGGGUCCAGGGGUAAAAUGGUCUUUUUCAGGCCAAGGGUAAUAUAAUAAUUACCCUUGGGAAUUAAUAAAUUUAAUUAAAAGAUCAAUUCGGAUUGGGGCGACCCGGAGUGACCCAUUUCACAAAUGGGGUACCACUCGGGUUCGAGCCCCACUAGGAGCAAGCAAUUGAUGAUUUAAUCAUCAGUUAAAAUCUAUUCAUUAAGGGUAAAAUGGUCCUUUCCCGUAUUAAUUAAAAUAAAUCAGAUUUUGGUAUUAAUUUAAUUAAAUCCUAUUUUGACUAAGUCUUGAAUUUAGUCUCCUAAUCCUAAUAACUCUCUCCCACACGUUUCUCAACUCUCUUUCACGUCUCUCAACUCUCAUUCUCUCACGUUCAGACUAACAAGAAAUCUCAAGAAUAGUUUAGUAAUAAUUGUUCUUCAGACUUGAAAAACACAUGAAAAGUUUUAAGAAAAGCAAGGUAAUAAAAAACGUCAAGGCAGAGGGAGGUUGUUCGUCGAGUGGUGUGUACGUUGAGGAGAAUUGGGCGUCGUUUGGAGGAGUUUCUGGGAAGUAUCUUCACACUUGAACAACAUCAAAAGGUACAGGCAUAGGUGGGUGAUAGAGCUACAGGAUCAUUGUUGCAGCUAAUCGGACGUCAGCAUUCAUCCGUAGUUUGAGAAUGAACACUAGGAGGGCUAUUGGUUAGAGGAGAUGAGGAGCAGCUGCUGAGGGCAAUCAAGUUCCACCCCAGGCCCUAGCUGAAGGAGUGGCCAUGUCGGUUAACCAUGCUGGGUUAAAUGAUGCUGAGGUGAGGGCAUCUCUUGCUCAGAUGGCACAGGCCAUUAUGAUGCAGGCUCAGGCUAUGACUGCCCAAGUCAACCGGCAGGAUGUUCAAAGGGAGAACCCACCGGUUCAAAGCAUGGCUAACAGACUGCAAAAUUUCACGAGGAUGAAUCCUCCAAUAUUCACAGGGGCUAAGACAUCAGAGGAUCCUCAAGAAUUUGUAGACGAAGUGCAUAAGAUCCUGGUGGCUAUGGGGGGCCACUGAUAUUGAGAAGGCUGAGUUGGCUUCCUAUAAACUCACGGAUGUUGCACAGACUUGGUGCAAGAUGUGGCAAGAUAGCCGUGUCUUAGGUGGAGUGCCAAUCACUUGGGAGUUGUUCAAGACAGCAUUUCUGGAAAGAUUCUUCCCCAGAGAUAUGAGGGAAGCCAAGGUUGAGGAGUUCAUCAACCUUAAACAAGGCUUUAUGACAGUCAGGGUGUAUUCCCUAAUGUUUGUUAAGCUAUAAAAGUAUGUUACAUUUCCUAGUAUUUAAUAGCAAACAUGGGGAGGAUAUUGAGUUUUCUUAAAAUCAUCCAGGUAUGCUACUUCCCUGGUUUCUAACAGCCGGGAUGAGAUGAGUAGGUUUCUCACGGGAAUCAAUGGAGACCUGGAGGAGUAGUGUUGGUUUGCGAUGCUCCAUGAUAAUAUGGACCUUUCCAGGUUGAUGGUGCAUGUCCAGCAGGUAGAGGACAUCCGUAGAAAGAGAGGUGUUUGUGAUGUUAGGAGGCCUAGGCCUCAAAUCAGGCAGGUCCGUGUCAUGGAGGCCACAAAAAUAACUUUGGCGUGCGUGAGAAGCCAAGGUUCAAAAAGGGGAAACACAUUCUGGGAAUUCAAAUCCUCAGAGAGGUGAUACACCUAGAGGAGGCAUACCUGCGCCCAAGAAGGGAAAUGGAGGUGAGAUGCAUCGUCGUAAGACGAAUUGUGCUAAGUGUGGCCAAGCUCACAGUGGGGAAUGCAGAUAGGGAACAAAAUCCUUCUUCGGUUGUGGUAAGAGUGGACACAUGGUCAAAGACUUUCCACAGAACAGAGGUGAUGAUGGAAGUAAUGCUCAGCCUAGGCCUAAUCCACAAGGUGCAGCAGCAGCCGAACCCCCCAAAAGGAACAAAUCCUAUUCCAUGAAGGGCAGGGAGGAGCAGGAGAAGUGCGGUGAUGUUGUUACAGGUGCAGGCAGAGGUGGGCGAUAGAGCUAAAAAUCAUUGUUGCAGCUACCCGGACGUCUGUAUUCAUACGGAGUUUGGUAGGUCCUUAUGCUUUCGAGGAUGCUACUAUUUACAUUCUAGCUUAGUUUUAGAAUGAUCUAGUGGAGCAUGUUCCACUAGCGUUUCUUUCCUUUUUUGAUUCAGACUUUGAAUUGGUGCCAUUUCGGCAAUUAUACAAUUAAUACUUAUUGAA
Long non-coding RNA from Solanum pennellii, 3160 nucleotides. RefSeq lists it as uncharacterized. The transcript is spliced from 6 exons. The record is from RefSeq and is a predicted model, not a curated record. Lineage: Eukaryota; Viridiplantae; Streptophyta; Magnoliopsida; Solanales; Solanaceae.